GUGCCAGCAGCCGCGGUAAGACGUAGGUGGCAAGCGUUGUUCGGAAUCACUGGGCAUAAAGCGCACGUAGGCGGCCAAGUAAGUCAGGUGUGAAAUACCUCGGCUCAACCGAGGAACUGCGCCUGAUACUGCUUGGCUUGAGGUCCGGAGGGGAGAGUGGAAUUCCCGGUGGAGCGGUGAAAUGCGUAGAGAUCGGGAAGAACGCCGGCGGCGAAAGCGACUCUCUGGUCGGAAUCUGACGCUGAGGUGCGAAAGCUAGGGGAGCAAACGGGAUUAGAUACCCCAGUAGUCC
RNAcentral lists this ribosomal RNA (292 nucleotides) under uncultured bacterium. RNAcentral describes it as "partial 16S ribosomal RNA". It matches the Rfam family "Bacterial small subunit ribosomal RNA", at positions 505 to 796 of the family's 1533-position model. The record is from RNAcentral.